GAAAAUCUAAAACUAUAGAUUGGCUGCAACGAUGUCACUUUCUGCAUUCACAGACAGGGAAAGAACUAAAAGAGGACAAAGCUUGGUUUGCUUUUCAGUAAAUGCUGGUAGACUUACAAACUAUGGCCCGUGAAAGAGGUUGAUGUGAAGAACCAUUGGAGUGAUUUAUGUAACGACAUCAAGUUAGCCACAAAAGGGAAAUAAAGUAUCUACUCAGCUUGCUUCUGACUUUUUGUCGUGUACAUAGACGUUUCAAUGACCUCAAAAGUCAUGGAACAAAGGUAAGAAAAUUUACACUG
Long non-coding RNA from Lycium ferocissimum, 299 nucleotides. RefSeq lists it as uncharacterized. The transcript is spliced from 3 exons. NCBI's taxonomy places the organism in Eukaryota, Viridiplantae, Streptophyta, Magnoliopsida, Solanales, Solanaceae. The record is from RefSeq and is a predicted model, not a curated record.